GACGAACGCUGGCGGCGUGCCUAAUACAUGCAAGUAGAACGCUGAAGAGAGGAGCUUGCUCUUCUUGGAAGAGUUGCGAACGGGUGAGUAACGCGUAGGUAACCUGCCUUGUAGCGGGGGAUAACUAUUGGAAACGAUAGCUAAUACCGCAUAACAAUGGGUGACCCAUGUCAUUCAUUUAAAAGGGGCAACUGCUCCACUACAAGAUGGACCUGCGUUGUAUUAGCUAGUAGGUGAGGUAACGGCUCACCUAGGCGACGAUACAUAGCCGACCUGAGAGGGUGAUCGGCCACACUGGGACUGAGACACGGCCCAGACUCCUACGGGAGGCAGCAGUAGGGAAUCUUCGGCAAUGGGGGCAACCCUGACCGAGCAACGCCGCGUGAGUGAAGAAGGUUUUCGGAUCGUAAAGCUCUGUUGUAAGUCAAGAACGAGUGUGAGAGUGGAAAGUUCACACUGUGACGGUAGCUUACCAGAAAGGGACGGCUAACUACGUGCCAGCAGCCGCGGUAAUACGUAGGUCCCGAGCGUUGUCCGGAUUUAUUGGGCGUAAAGCGAGCGCAGGCGGUUUGAUAAGUCUGAAGUUAAAGGCUGUGGCUCAACCAUAGUUUGCUUUGGAAACUGCCAAACUUGAGUGCAGAAGGGGAGAGUGGAAUUCCAUGUGUAGCGGUGAAAUGCGUAGAUAUAUGGAGGAACACCGGUGGCGAAAGCGGCUCUCUGGUCUGUAACUGACGCUGAGGCUCGAAAGCGUGGGGAGCGAACAGG
Molecule: ribosomal RNA, 765 nt
Filed under: uncultured Streptococcus sp.
Lineage: Bacteria; Bacillati; Bacillota; Bacilli; Lactobacillales; Streptococcaceae
Description: bacterial SSU rRNA
Rfam family: Bacterial small subunit ribosomal RNA
Source: RNAcentral